This 165-nucleotide ribosomal RNA is filed under the name uncultured bacterium. RNAcentral's name for it is "partial 16S rRNA". It matches the Rfam family "Bacterial small subunit ribosomal RNA", at positions 355 to 511 of the family's 1533-position model. The record is from RNAcentral.
UAGGGAAUCUUCGGCAAUGGGGGCAACCCUGACCGAGCAACGCCGCGUGAGUGAAGAAGAUUUUCGGAUCGUAAAGCUCUGUUGUAAGAGAAGAACGUGUGUGAGAGUGGAAAGUUCACACAGUGACGGUAACUUACCAGAAAGGGACGGCUAACUACGUGCAAG